Picea glauca (white spruce) is the source of this 80-nucleotide non-coding RNA. The record is from Rfam. NCBI's taxonomy places the organism in Eukaryota, Viridiplantae, Streptophyta, Pinopsida, Pinales, Pinaceae.
GAUAGUUUGGCCAAAUGAUCUAAGGUGCUAGAUUUAGGCUCUGGUUUGAAAGGGUGUGGGUUCAAAUCCCUCAGUGGUCA